Molecule: ribosomal RNA, 433 nt
Filed under: uncultured bacterium
Lineage: Bacteria
Description: partial 16S ribosomal RNA
Rfam family: Bacterial small subunit ribosomal RNA
Source: RNAcentral
AACGAACGCUGGCGGCAUGCCUAACACAUGCAAGUCGAACGAGACCUUCGGGUCUAGUGGCGCAUGGGUGCGUAACGCGUGGGAACCUGCCCUUAGGUUCGGAAUAACUCCCCGAAAGGGGUGCUAAUACCGGAUAAUGUCCUCGGACCAAAGAUUUAUCGCCUUUGGAUGGGCCGGCGUUGUAUUAGCUUGUUGGUAGGGUAAAAGCCUACCAAGGCGACGAUCCAUAGCUGGUCUGAGAGGAUGAUCCGCCACACUGGGACUGAGACACGGCCCAGACUCCUACGGGAGGCAGCAGUGGGGAAUAUAGGACAAUCGGCGAAAGCCUGAUGCAGCAAUGCCGCGUGAGUGAUGAAGGCCUUAGGGAUGUAAAGCUCUUUUACCCGGGAUGAUAAUGACGGUACCGGGAGAAUAAGCUCCGGCUAACUCCGUG